This 253-nucleotide ribosomal RNA is filed under the name uncultured bacterium. Its description in RNAcentral is "partial 16S ribosomal RNA". It matches the Rfam family "Bacterial small subunit ribosomal RNA", at positions 524 to 776 of the family's 1533-position model. The record is from RNAcentral.
UACAGAGGGUGCGAGCGUUGUUCGGAAUUACUGGGCGUAAAGGGCGCGUAGGCGGCCUUCUAAGUCAGACGUGAAAUCCCUCGGCUCAACCGAGGAACUGCGUCUGAUACUGGAAGGCUUGAAUCCGGGAGAGGGAUGUGGAAUUCCAGGUGUAGCGGUGAAAUGCGUAGAUAUCUGGAGGAACACCGGUGGCGAAGGCGGCAUCCUGGACCGGUAUUGACGCUGAGGCGCGAAAGCUAGGGGAGCAAACGGG